This 652-nucleotide ribosomal RNA is filed under the name uncultured Bacteroides sp. RNAcentral's name for it is "bacterial SSU rRNA". It matches the Rfam family "Bacterial small subunit ribosomal RNA", at positions 68 to 715 of the family's 1533-position model. Lineage: Bacteria; Pseudomonadati; Bacteroidota; Bacteroidia; Bacteroidales; Bacteroidaceae. The record is from RNAcentral.
AGUUUGGUUUGCUUGCAACCAAAGCUGGCGACCGGCGCACGGGUGAGUAACACGUAUCCCAUCUGCGUCAUACUCGGGGAUAGCCUUUCGAAAGAAAGAUCAUUAUCCGAUAGCAUAUAUUUCCCGCAUGGGUUUUAUAUUAAAGAAAUUCGGUAUGAGAUGGGGAUGCGUUCCAUUAGUUUGUUGGGGGGGUAACGGCCCACCAAGACUACGAUGGAUAGGGGUUCUGAGAGGAAGGUCCCCCACAUUGGAACUGAGACACGGUCCAAACUCCUACGGGAGGCAGCAGUGAGGAAUAUUGGUCAAUGGACGCGAGUCUGAACCAGCCAAGUAGCGUGAAGGAUGACUGCCCUAUGGGUUGUAAACUUCUUUUAUAUGGGAAUAAAGUGGUCCACGUGUGGACUUUUGUAUGUACCAUAUGAAUAAGGAUCGGCUAACUCCGUGCCAGCAGCCGCGGUAAUACGGAGGAUCCGAGCGUUAUCCGGAUUUAUUGGGUUUAAAGGGAGCGUAGGCGGAUUGUUAAGUCAGUUGUGAAAGUUUGCGGCUCAACCGUAAAAUUGCAGUUGAUACUGGCAGUCUUGAGUGCAGUAGAGGUGGGCGGAAUUCGUGGUGUAGCGGUGAAAUGCUUAGAUAUCACGAAGAACUCCGAUUG